CCCCUGAUCAAAGAUCCUAGAGGGACAAGAUAGACCACUCCUCGAAAAACGCGUAGUAUGACGUGUGUGACCGUCGACGCCAUAUUGUUAAGCAUUUAUUGGGCUGUAAUGGCGUCCUCAGCUAAAUCUACAUCUCACUGCUCCGCUAUCAACUGUUCUAAUCAUAAAUCUAAACGACCCAACCUGUCAUUCUUUAGGUUCCCCAAUAAAAAAGAAAGAUGUCAACAGUGGGUCCAGAAUACUCAUCGACAAGAUCUCCUGCACCGAACUGUCUUAUUUGUCAAAAAACUGCCGUCUUAUGUACAUUGUGUGAAAUUGUGAUUUAUUAACUGCACAAAACUAAUGCAAAUGGCGAUACAUGCCUGCAUUUGGCCCAUACCCCUCUAAACCUGUCCUAACCAUCAAAUAACCUAACAGAACUGUCAUGAGGAAAGAUUUAAAAGACUAGGCUUGUAUUCACUGGAGUUUAGAAGGAUGAGGGGAGAUCUUAUCAUAUUGUUUACAGUGUACUAUGUUUACAGAUUCUGUUGUGCUGCUGAAAGUAAGAAUUUAAUUGUUCUAUCUGGGACAAGCUAGAUGCAGGAAAAUUGUUCUACAUGACAAUAAAACACUCUUGUUAGAUGCAAGGGGAUCUCAUAGAUACAUCUAAAUGAAUAAAAGGACUGAACAAGCUAGAUACAGGAAAAAUGUUCCCAAUGUUGGGCGAGUCCAGAACCAGGGGCCACAGUCUUAGAACAAAGGGGAGGCCAUUUAAGACUGAGGUGAGAAAAAACUUUUUCACCCAGAGAGUUGUGAAUUUGUGGAAUUCCCUGCCACAGAGGGCAGUGGAGGCCAAAUCACUGGGUGGAUUUAAGAGAGAGUUAGAUAGAUCUCUAGGGGCUAGUGGAAUCAAGGGAUAUGGGGAGAAGGCAGGCAUGGGUUAUCGAUUGGGGCUGAUCAGCCAUGAUCACAAUGAAUGGCGGUGUUGGGUCGAAGUGCCAAAUGGCCUCCUCCUGCACCUAUUUUCUAUAUUUCUAAAACACUCAUCCAGCAAUCCUCGAGCCCACCAGCUCAUCCCGUAGUCAAUUCAUCAGCUUUUCCAUAAGAACUUCCAUCAGUUCUUGCAAAAGAAUGACAAUCAGCCAAUCUCGAUUACCCUCAGCCCAUCAAGCAGUCCCUUAAUUCGCACAGAAGUCUGAACUAUUGAAUGCUCACUGCAUCUCUUUCCAUGUCAGCAAGUUAAUAUCCAGCUGCAUAUGAACCAUGUGAAAAAUGAAUAAAUAGAUGCAUGUGGUGCAGUGAUUUGUGCAGCACUAUAGGCCUGGAGACCAAGAGGAGUUCACCAUUGAACGGAGUUUGAACGGGGGGCUUGAGGCCCCCGACCGAGGAAGAACAAAAGGAAGGGACUUGAACUUUAUUUCGCCUUCCAUCACAGUGAGGAAUGUGUAGGAGUCACUUUGGUGAAUGUCCGUAUUAAAAUGUGUUUUUGAGUGCUGUUGCUUUUAAUUGUAUGACUGACCUGGCCAAUGAAAUUCCUCGUAUAUUGCAAAACAUACUUGGAAAAUAAAAUCUGAUUAUGAUUCUGAAAA
This is a long non-coding RNA of Leucoraja erinaceus (little skate), 1568 nucleotides long. RefSeq lists it as uncharacterized. Lineage: Eukaryota; Metazoa; Chordata; Chondrichthyes; Rajiformes; Rajidae. The transcript is spliced from 2 exons. The record is from RefSeq and is a predicted model, not a curated record.